This 821-nucleotide ribosomal RNA is filed under the name uncultured Enterococcaceae bacterium. Its description in RNAcentral is "SSU rRNA". It matches the Rfam family "Bacterial small subunit ribosomal RNA", at positions 58 to 849 of the family's 1533-position model. Lineage: Bacteria; Bacillati; Bacillota; Bacilli; Lactobacillales; Enterococcaceae. The record is from RNAcentral.
CAAGUCGAACGCUUCUUUCCUCCCAAGUGCUUGCACUCAAUUGGAAAGAGGAGUGGCGGACGGGUGAGUAACACGUGGGUAACCUACCCAUCAGAGGGGGAUAACACUAGGAAACAGGUGCUAAUACCGCAUAACAGUUUAUGCCGCAUGGCAUAAGAGUGAAAGGCGCUUUCGGGUGUCGCUGAUGGAUGGACCCGCGGUGCAUUAGCUAGUUGGUGAGGUAACGGCUCACCAAGGCCACGAUGCAUAGCCGACCUGAGAGGGUGAUCGGCCACACUGGGACUGAGACACGGCCCGGACUCCUACGGGAGGCAGCAGUAGGGAAUCUUCGGCAAUGGACGAAAGUCUGACCGAGCAACGCCGCGUGAGUGAAGAAGGUUUUCGGAUCGUAAAACUCUGUUGUUAGAGAAGAACAAGGACGUUAGUAACUGAACGUCCCCUGACGGUAUCUAACCAGAAAGCCACGGCUAACUACAUGCCAGCAGCCGCGGUAAUACGUAGGUGGCAAGCGUUGUCCGGAUUUAUUGGGCGUAAAGCGAGCGCAGGCGGUUUCUUAAGUCUGAUGUGAAAGCCCCCGGCUCAACCGGGGAGGGUCAUUGGAAACUGGGAGACUUGAGUGCAGAAGAGGAGAGUGGAAUUCCAUGUGUAGCGGUGAAAUGCGUAGAUAUAUGGAGGAACACCAGUGGCGAAGGCGGCUCUCUGGUCUGUAACUGACGCUGAGGCUCGGAAGCGUGGGGAGCAAACAGGAUUAGAUAUCCUGGUAGUCCACGCCGUAAACGAUGAGUGCUAAGUGUUGGAGGGUUUCCGCCCUUCAGUGCUGC